UACGACUACAUAUCAGGCAUAUCAAUAAGCGGAGGAAAAGAAACUAACAAGGAUUCCCCUAGUAACGGCGAGUGAAGCGGGAAGAGCUCAAAUUUGAAAUCUUCAAGGUUCUACCUUGACGAAUUGUAGUUUAAAGAAGUGUUUUCGGUUAGAGGAGUAGUAAAAGUUCUUUGGAAUAGGACAUCAUAGAGGGUGGGAAUCCCGUAUUUGACUAUUCUUUCUAGCUUUGUGAUACACUUUCAAAGAGUCGGAUUGUUUGGGAAUGCAGUCCAAAAUGGGUGGUAAAUUUCAUCUAAAGCUAAAUAUUGGCGAGAGACCGAUAGCGAACAAGUACCGUGAGGGAAAGAUGAAAAGAACUUUGAAAAGAGAGUUAAACAGUACGUGAAAUUGUCAAAAGGGAAGCGUUUGACACCAGUGUUGUUUUUCCGAAAAUCAAUUAAAAAUAGAUUCAUGCUAAGUAGUAUUGACCUCAUCAGCUUGACUGCUUAGUUUUGGGUCAUUUUUUGAUGCACUUUUCGGUUAACAAGUCAACAUCAAUUUCUUUUGCCGUAAAAAGGUAGAAGGAAGGUGGCUUUAGUUUCGGCUGAAGUGUUUAUAGCCUUCUGCCCCUGCGGUCGGAGAGAUUGAGGUCUGCAGCGUAGACUCCUUCGGGGUUAGAUACGUCUGUGCUAAGCUAUAGCUUUUCAUAGACAACUUGUUGACUAUGUUUAGUCAUGUGGCUUACCCGCUGGCGCUAUUUUACCUACGCUUAGGAUGUUGACUGAUAUGUAGUCGUA
Molecule: ribosomal RNA, 776 nt
Filed under: uncultured Neocallimastigales
Lineage: Eukaryota; Fungi; Neocallimastigomycota; Neocallimastigomycetes; Neocallimastigales
Description: partial large subunit ribosomal RNA
Rfam family: Eukaryotic large subunit ribosomal RNA
Source: RNAcentral